UACAGAGGUCCCAAGCGUUGUUCGGAUUCACUGGGCGUAAAGGGUGCGUAGGCGGUCGGGUAAGUCUGAUGUGAAAUCUCACAGCUUAACUGUGAAACUGCAUUGGAUACUAUCCGGCUCGAGGAAUGGAGGGGAGACUGGAAUACUUGGUGUAGCAGUGAAAUGCGUAGAUAUCAAGUGGAACACCAGUGGCGAAGGCGAGUCUCUGGACAUUUCCUGACGCUGAGGCACGAAGGCUAGGGGAGCAAACGGG
This 253-nucleotide ribosomal RNA is filed under the name uncultured bacterium. RNAcentral's name for it is "partial 16S ribosomal RNA". It matches the Rfam family "Bacterial small subunit ribosomal RNA", at positions 524 to 776 of the family's 1533-position model. The record is from RNAcentral.